ACGUAGGGAGCAAGCGUUGUCCGGAUUUACUGGGCGUAAAGAGCGCGUAGGCGGCUCGUUAAGUGUGAAGUGAAAUCUCCAGUGCUCAACACGGAAACUGCUUUACAUACUGGCGAGCUUGAGGAAAGCAGAGGCAACUGGAAUUCCUGGUGUAGCGGUGAAAUGCGUUGAUAUCAGGAGGAACACCAAUGGCGAAGGCAGGUUGCUGGGCUUUAACUGACGCUGAGGCGCGAAAGCGUGGGUAGCAAACAGGAUUAGAUACCCUGGUAGUCCACGCCCUAAACUAUGGAUACUAGACGUAAGAGGUAUCGACCCCUCUUGUGUCGCAGCUAACGCAUUAAGUAUCCCGCCUGGGGACUACGGCCGCAAGGUUG
Molecule: ribosomal RNA, 374 nt
Filed under: uncultured bacterium
Lineage: Bacteria
Description: bacterial SSU rRNA
Rfam family: Bacterial small subunit ribosomal RNA
Source: RNAcentral